GAUGAAGAACGUAGCGAAAUGCGAUACGUAAUGUGAAUUGCAGAAUUCAGUGAAUCAUCGAGUCUUUGAACGCACAUUGCGCCCCCUGGUAUUCCGGGGGGCAUGCCUGUCCGAGCGUCAUUGCUGCCCUCAAGCACGGCUUGUGUGUUGGGCCUCCGUCCUCCUCCCGGGGGACGGGCCCGAAAGGCAGCGGCGGCACCGCGUCCGGUCCUCGAGCGUAUGGGGCUUCGUCACCCGCUCUUGUAGGCCCGGCCGGCGCUUCCGACACAUCAAUCUUUUUUCCAGGUUGACCUCGGAUCAGGUAGGGAUACCCGCUGAACUUAAGCAUAUCAAUAAGCGGAGGA
Molecule: unclassified non-coding RNA, 344 nt
Filed under: soil metagenome
Description: partial contains 5.8S ribosomal RNA, internal transcribed spacer 2, and large subunit ribosomal RNA
Rfam family: 5.8S ribosomal RNA (bases 1-120)
Source: RNAcentral